Molecule: ribosomal RNA, 253 nt
Filed under: uncultured bacterium
Lineage: Bacteria
Description: partial 16S ribosomal RNA
Rfam family: Bacterial small subunit ribosomal RNA
Source: RNAcentral
UACGUAGGGAGCAAGCGUUGUCCGGAAUCAUUGGGCGUAAAGCGCGCGUAGGUGGCCCCAUAAGUCCGCUGUGAAAGUCAAAGGCUCAACCUUUGAAAGCCGGUGGAUACUGUGGGACUAGAGUACGGAAGAGGCGAGUGGAAUUCCUGGUGUAGCGGUGGAAUGCGCAGAUAUCAGGAGGAACACCGGUGGCGAAGGCGGUUCUCUGGGCAUGUCCUGACGCUGAGGAGCGAAAGUGUGGGGAGCGAACAGG